RNAcentral lists this long non-coding RNA (446 nucleotides) under Setaria viridis. Its description in RNAcentral is "long non-coding RNA (SVIR_LNC010437)". Lineage: Eukaryota; Viridiplantae; Streptophyta; Magnoliopsida; Poales; Poaceae. The record is from RNAcentral.
AACAAGGUUCUAAACCUUCUUUUUCUGCAUAAGGUAGGGUGUGUUGUGGUAUAAAACCAGGGUUGAUUUGAUGGUGAUUGUAUACAUAUAUACAACUUAACUUUAUUAAACUUUAGAUCGGAAAGUUAUCCUAUUUCUGAAUUUUUUUUGUACUUCUUCCCAAAAAGACCAUUACCUUUACUUAAGGUUUCUUUAUUCCAUUCAGUUAGGCCCAUCUUCAAAAUUUUAUUUCCAUCUUCAAACAGUGAGGUAUGACAUGGUUAAUUUAGCAGUAGAUUAGACAUAACAUCAUUAGGUUUUUGUAAAAAUUUGGGGUGCUCGAGUGCAGAAACCAUAAGAAAUCUGGUAUAGACCCUUGUGAAUGCUAGCUGAUUUCAUGCACUGGAAAAAAGGAUUUGUUGUGUCAGAUUAAUUGUUUCAUUUUUCUUAGUUCAAUAUACACAAAC